This 356-nucleotide unclassified non-coding RNA is filed under the name uncultured bacterium. RNAcentral describes it as "contains 16S-23S intergenic spacer region". The record is from RNAcentral.
UCCGGUUUGACACCGGCAGUCUGUCUAGAGUGCCCACCAUGAUGUGCUGGCAACUAAACACGAGGGUUGCGCUCGUUGCGGGACUUAACCCAACAUCUCACGACACGAGCUGACGACAGCCAUGCAGCACCUGUGCAAAUUGUCUCUACAGCGUGCAGUUGCAUGUCAAGCCCUGGUAAGGUUCUUCGCGUUGCAUCGAAUUAAGCCAUAUGCUCCACCGCUUGUGCGGGCCCCCGCCAAUUCCUUUGAGUUUUAAUCUUGCGAUCGUAGUUCCCAGGCGGUUCACUUAAUGCGUUAGCUGCGGCACCGAAGCAAAGCCCCGACACCUAGUGAACAUCGUUUAUGGCCAAGACUAC